Molecule: transfer RNA, 73 nt
Organism: Camelus ferus (Wild Bactrian camel)
Lineage: Eukaryota; Metazoa; Chordata; Mammalia; Artiodactyla; Camelidae
Rfam family: tRNA
About the family: Transfer RNA (tRNA) molecules are approximately 80 nucleotides in length. Their secondary structure includes four short double-helical elements and three loops (D, anti-codon, and T loops).
Source: Rfam
GAGUGUAUAGCUCAAGCGGCAGAGCGCAUGAUUAGCAUGCACGAGGUCCUGGGUUCAAUCCCCAGUACCUCCU